GGGCAUGCGAGGUGUGCGAGGGAAAGUUGGAUGAUGCUCAUUAGCCACUGACAUAGGGGUCGAAGUAGGAGGAGGGGACUAUGGAGCAGCAACUGGAGCAAGUGAGGAAGGGCCAGCAGCGGGUGCAGGAGAUGGUGAUCGAGCAUAGUCAGAGGGGGAAGACCACUUAGAAGACUAAAUCCUCAGGCUGUUCUCCUUCUGCUUCAGGUU
This 210-nucleotide long non-coding RNA is filed under the name Elaeis guineensis (African oil palm). RNAcentral's name for it is "long non-coding RNA (EGUI_LNC066175)". The record is from RNAcentral. Lineage: Eukaryota; Viridiplantae; Streptophyta; Magnoliopsida; Arecales; Arecaceae.